UCUUCUUCUCCAGCGGCAGCUCUUCUCUUCUACUCUUCUCGCCGUCGACGCCACCACUAAUUGCUACAACAUCAUAAACAUCACUCUACCAGCAUCAUAAUCACCUUCUUCUUCUUCGAUUACUCCCCCCCUAUUUUCUUGAUUUCAACCAUCAACCAGUAGCACCUGCAACCGUAAUAUCAACAUCAACAACUGUGGGGGUUCGAUUCUAUUGUUGAUGCAUAUAACAAAUCUAAGAUGUCAAGAACUCAAACAAUAAAACACCUUCUCUAUACAAGAUCAUUUUAUUACUCAAUCUUCAAGUUUCAAGUUUUAUGGUAAUGAAUCUGUUUGUUUGUUGUUCUUUUACGAUAAUAUUUUGUUGUUUGAUUGAUUAGAUUUUGAGAUCGAAAUUUCUAAACAACGAAGAUUAUCUAUGCAAUUAAGUUUGGAUUUUUAUUUCGUCCGUUAAUUUAUGUAUCAUUCUGCAAUUUCUAUUGAAACUAAUUUCAGUCGGUUAUAACCGAUUUUACCAUCUCAAAAACCGGACCGAGUCGGCUCGGUUUAAAACCGAGCCGAAAACACCACAGUUCGGUUUCAGUUUUCAUUUUGAAAACCGACACAUAUGCAGUUCGGUCAACGAUUUUGCCUCAAAACCGCACCCACCGACCGUUGUGCAACCCUACCUGGAAUCGUCAGCCCCAAGUGCUCCUUCAAGUACUCGGUUCCCCUCAUUAACUUUACCCUCUCCACAACACCCAAAAAAAGAAAAACUACUCUCGAAACAGUCGCCCAAAAUUCUCAGAUCCGAGAAUUCCCUGUAUUUUAGUCGCGCAUUUCAUAUGCAAAUCGGGUGGAUCUAGUUUGCAUUGGGGACGGAUUUCGACAUCUUAGGGUAAUCGAAUUACAAGGUGGAAAAAUCUUGUAGUUUGUUGAUUCAUUUCGACAAGGGAACACCAGCGCAAUUGAAGAAUCAUCAGUGGUGAAACGCUUCUUUCUCAACUCUUCAUAACUAUUGUUCGUUAUUUUUUACCAUCAGAAGAUCAUACAAUUCACAAACUGUUUGCUUCUUUAAAAUUAUUGAUAAAAUUGAAAAGUUUUACCUAAGAUGAUCUUGAUUUGUCGGAAUUUAAGAAAUAAUCUUCAGCAUCCAAAUGAAUACAUACUUUAGAUUUCUUUGUCGUUUGAAUGAGACUGAAAUUAUCGAGCCUUUGAUCCCGUCUAUAUUGAACAUCGCCAUCAUUUUAUCAGAAGAAAUGCAAUUUUGGCAAUUAUGUCGAUUUAUAAUUGAACUUCCUCAAGGUGAGCAGCUUCUUGUUGAUGCUUCUUGAUUGAGAAAGCGCUUUCAUCUAAGCAAUUGACAUUGCUCUUGAACUGAUAACUCCUCGGAACAUUGAUGAAGUUGUUCAAGCACUGAAGAAGGAAGUUGUGAAGACUCAGAGCACCAAGAGUGCGAAGAAUGGGGAAUACCGUCAAAUGCUUGUUCAAGCUAUUCAUUCUUGUGCCAUAAAAUUUCCUGAAAUUGCCGGCACUGUGGUUCAUUUAUUGAUGGAUUUCUUGGGUGAUAGCAAUGUUGCUUCAGGGCUGAAGCUGAUCAAGAUUUAUUGAUGGACUUCAUCUGCACCAACGGCUGUCAGGGCUGCUUCCAACUUCUACAAUCUCAGAGUGAUAACAAUGUUAAGCUUAUUGUGCUCGAUUGAUUGAAUGACCUCAAAACUUUUCUUAAUCACUCUGCUGAUUCUGCUGCAGGAAUCAUCCCAGAACAUUCUCUGCUGGUCAAGCUCCUUCCGAUGAACCUCAUGAGAACAUCUACCACAGUUUUGAGGCUGGUUCCAUUACUGGUGUUCCUAUAUCUACAAGCAAGCAUCUGAUGUACAACACCAAUACCCCAGCUGAAAAGAAAACAGCCUGGACUACCCAGCCUGAAACUGUAGAUGAUACCGUGUGUUUGGAGAGUUCUUUGUCAACUCCACGUGGAGAUAUAAGCAGGCACGUGUCCUCCGGAUCUUGGUGGGAAGACAAGACUGAAUUGAAGCCUGGGAAUUAAAGUUCUCCUGAGGCAAUUUCUAUUCUUGAGAAGCUUUCACCUGUUAAAGUCAUCUCUUCUCCUGAAGCUGGCCCUAGUAUUCCUCAGAUUUUUCACCAGGUAUAACUGAAAUGAUAAGGAAAUAUGGGGCAUUUCAGCAGUUGGUUUGAAGUUCUGUGGUUAAUGAGGGCACCAUUUAGACGAAGGUGUGCGCAAGAGUAUCAUUCGUGCUUCAAUCAGAUCUUAAGUGUAAGGUGCUUGACGAUUCUGAUUCUUCAAUUAGGGAACUUGCUCAUUCAGUGAUAUUUGAAUUGCAUAAUAAUCAGAAAGAAUCCAUGGAAGCUUCAAUUGAGAUUGUAAUUGAAAAAACUGCUUCAUGUUACCAAAGAUAUGGUAGCAAAGGUCUCCUGAAGCAGGCCCUAGCUUCCUCAGAUUCUGCGCCAGGUAUCCAACGGAAAUGAUGGGGAUGCAAGCAUGAGGAAAUGUGGGGAACUUCACCAGUCGGUUGAAGUUUCUCUGGUUAGUGAAGACUCCAUUUGGACGUAGAUCAUCUCCACAUCUUUGGCUUCCUCCGCAAGACCAUCCAGGAAGGAACCCAUGGAUGCAACUAGGUCUUCAAUUCCAAGGGGAGAAUGCCGGGCGGCAUACUAAAACAGGAUCUCAGAAUAACUUUCUGCGGAAGCACGUGCGCGGUAAGCCUGGUUGGUGUAAUGCAAAUCAGCCUUUUCAAGUUUUCCAUCCACAGAAGACAUGCCUCCAUCACCAACUGUAAGAUGCAUAAAGUUUCUUUGUUUCAGAUGAGACUUCAGGAUGAACUCGUGACUUAACCAUCCAAAGACAACCGGAGGAUCAUCUGAUGCAACUAAUGCGAGUGGUGUAUUUCCUGUAUGAUAAUGGGCAUGCUUGUUGUAAAACGCGUCCGUCUUUGACAUAUGGUACAUUACCCAGAUAUGCCGUCUGCAAACCCAUCUGAGCACAAUCAUAGAUGGGAACACUUACAUCAUAGAUGGGAACAACAUUGAAUUUAUAUUUAUGAUUCAACAUCAGUUCUCAACUUCAUUCUCAGUGUAUCAGUUGAGGAAUUCCAUCAGACGAGCGCUGUAGUAGUACAGCCCGUUUAUAGAGGUUGACCUUAUGAUUUUUGUACAAAGCAAGAAAGACAGACAGUGUUACUGAUCUCUCUAUGACCAGUCAGAUAUUGUUGGAACUUCCUCCCAAAAGAGAUAGACUGUCGUUUCGAAGAAAAGUAACUUAAAGGUAUUCUGUGGGUUCCUUUGAUAGCUAUGGUCUCAGAAAUGGACUGCUGGAAUUGUCCCAGAACACAGUGUCUGCAGUUUUGAGGCUGGUUCUAAAACUGAUGCCCUAUUUCUACAAGAAGGAUCUAAUGUACAAUGCCCUCAGCUGAAAACAGAACAUCUUGGACAACCCAGCCUGGAACUGUAUAUCUUAGCGUGUAUUUGGAUAGUUCACGUGUAAAUAUAAACAGGUACAUGUCCUCGGAUCUUGGUGGGAUGGCUGAUUUGAAACUGCGAAUGAAAAUUCUUUAGGCACAGUUUCUAGUCUUGAGAAGGUUUCACCUGUUAAGUCACCUCGUCUACUGAAGCUGGCCCUAGCAUUCCUCAGAUUCUUCACCAAGGUAUCUAAGGGAAAUGAUGGGGAUGCAAGCAUAAGGAAACGUGGGGCACUUCACCAGUUGAUUGAAGAUUCUCUGGCUAAUGAGGACUCCAUUUGGACCAAGGCUGGAAGAUCACAGUACUAUGGUUAGAGCCUUAGCUUGGUGCCAUUCCAGGCUAGCUUGCUUGCUUGUGGUGGAGGUGCAGCUGAUGGACAUGUUAAAUUCUGGAACACCCACACUGGAGCUUGCUUGAAAUCUGUCGAUACUGGUAUUGUGAAGGAAAAAUGAGAGAGAACAACCUUGCGGAAGUAUCCGUCGAUGGUUAAGAUUGCUGAUCUCACUGGUCAUACUUCAAGAGUCAUAUUCAUGGCUCAUAGUCCAGACGGAUGUGCUGUAGCUUCUGCAGCAGGUGAUGCAACUCUAAGAUUUAGGUUCGCAUUUGGGACUCCUGAAUUAGCUAAGCCUGCAACUCCUGAAUUAGCUAAGCCUGCAACCAAAACCCAUUCGCAUGUUGGAAUUGCAUCCAAUGAAAAAAUCACCACUGAGAAGGGAAGCACUGCCUCAGCAGCAAUGAUUGGACUUAUAAUAUUGGCAGGGCUGGCGCGGACGCCUACCCCUCAGAAACAAAUUAUGACGUAGAGUUUCCUUGGAGAUCUUAGGCCAGCGCCCUCCCAAAGUGCAAUGGGAGUCACAAACCUAGGCCAUGAUCCUUCAUGAUCAAUCAUAGACCCCGUCCAGGUAAGUAUGAAAUUCUAGUCGAAUUUCAAGCUUAACUUAUAGGUUUGUUUUUCUCCUGUUCUUUCUUGCCUGACCUAUGCGGGACUAAUAUUACCUUGCUCUCAUUUAUAUCCUGCUUUCAUGGGUUGAGAAGUUGGGCCUCUAUAAUCUU
Papaver somniferum (opium poppy) is the source of this 4509-nucleotide long non-coding RNA. RefSeq lists it as uncharacterized. NCBI's taxonomy places the organism in Eukaryota, Viridiplantae, Streptophyta, Magnoliopsida, Ranunculales, Papaveraceae. The record is from RefSeq and is a predicted model, not a curated record. The transcript is spliced from 11 exons.